Molecule: ribosomal RNA, 497 nt
Filed under: uncultured bacterium
Lineage: Bacteria
Description: bacterial SSU rRNA
Rfam family: Bacterial small subunit ribosomal RNA
Source: RNAcentral
GAUCAUGGCUCAGAUUGAACGCUGGCGGCAUGCUUUACACAUGCAAGUCGAACGGUAACAGGGAGCUUGCUCCGCUGACGAGUGGCGAACGGGUGAGUAAUGCAUCGGAACGUACCCAGUCGUGGGGGAUAACGUAGCGAAAGUUACGCUAAUACCGCAUACGUCCUGAGGGAGAAAGCGGGGGACCGUAAGGCCUCGCGCGAUUGGAGCGGCCGAUGUCGGAUUAGCUAGUUGGUAGGGUAAAGGCCUACCAAGGCGACGAUCCGUAGCGGGUCUGAGAGGAUGAUCCGCCACACUGGGACUGAGACACGGCCCAGACUCCUACGGGAGGCAGCAGUGGGGAAUUUUGGACAAUGGGCGAAAGCCUGAUCCAGCCAUGCCGCGUGAGUGAAGAAGGCCUUCGGGUUGUAAAGCUCUUUCAGCCGGAAAGAAAUCGCGCAGGAUAAUACUCUGCGUGGAUGACGGUACCGGAAGAAGAAGCACCGGCUAACUACGUG